This 235-nucleotide ribosomal RNA is filed under the name uncultured bacterium. RNAcentral describes it as "partial 16S ribosomal RNA". It matches the Rfam family "Bacterial small subunit ribosomal RNA", at positions 118 to 351 of the family's 1533-position model. The record is from RNAcentral.
UGAGUAACCUGCCCUUAACUCUGGGAUAAGCCUGGGAAACUGGGUCUAAUACCGGAUAUAACUCCUCAUCGCAUGGUGGGGGGUGGAAAGCUUUUUGUGGUUUUGGAUGGACUCGCGGCCUAUCAGCUUGUUGGUGAGGUAAUGGCUCACCAAGGCGACGACGGGUAGCCGGCCUGAGAGGGUGACCGGCCACACUGGGACUGAGACACGGCCCAGACCUCCGUACGGGAGGCAG